This 422-nucleotide long non-coding RNA is filed under the name Homo sapiens (human). RNAcentral's name for it is "HSALNT0397217". Lineage: Eukaryota; Metazoa; Chordata; Mammalia; Primates; Hominidae. The record is from RNAcentral.
UUCACAUUUUCUGUAUUUAUUUAUGCUUUGGGCUUAAAAGGGUCAGUGGCCUAAUUUAACAUUCGAUUUUUGUUUUUACACAGCAAAGACUUAUUGCAGGAAUACUGUAUGUUUGGCUCAAAGCUAGGUCCUGGAAACAAUCUGAAAAAAAUCCUCUACAUCCUGAGAUGUCUGCUGUCUAAAUCUUGGGGGAUGAAAUGCUGUGAUGGGUUGCACGCCCACAUCACCACUCUGCUGUCGGGAGAAGAGGAAGGCACGUUCCUCCCAAACACAGGGACUGAAAGCAGUUCUGAAGGCUGAAGUCCAAGACCAGGGUGGCAGCAUGGUCAGGUCCUGGCGAGGGCCAUUUUCCGAUGAGAAAACUGAAGCUCAGAGACAGAAAACGAGGUCUUCAGACUCCAGGUCCAGAGUGUCAUCCCCCA